GAAUCUGAAGAGCUGAGGUC
RNAcentral lists this microRNA (20 nucleotides) under Ananas comosus (pineapple). RNAcentral's name for it is "microRNA s0166_c068". Lineage: Eukaryota; Viridiplantae; Streptophyta; Magnoliopsida; Poales; Bromeliaceae. The record is from RNAcentral.